Molecule: ribosomal RNA, 408 nt
Filed under: uncultured bacterium
Lineage: Bacteria
Description: bacterial SSU rRNA
Rfam family: Bacterial small subunit ribosomal RNA
Source: RNAcentral
AUUAGGAAUCUUGCACAAUGGGGGAAACCCUGAUGCAGCGACGCCGCGUGCGGGACGAAGGCCUUCGGGUCGUAAACCGCUUUUGACGGGGAAGAAGAAUGUGACGGUACCUGUCGAAUAAGCCCCGGCUAACUACGUGCCAGCAGCCGCGGUAAUACGUAGGGGGCGAGCGUUGUCCGAAGUUACUGGGCGUAAAGCGCGCGUAGGCGGCCAUCUAAGUUCGGGGUGAAAGGUUCAACGCUCAACGUGAACAGUGCCCUGAAUACUGGCUGGCUUGAGUUCGGGAGGGGGCAGUGGAAUUCCGGGUGUAGCGGUGAAAUGCGUAGAUAUCCGGAGGAACACCGAUGGCGAAGGCAGCUGCCUGGCCCAGAACUGACGCUGAGGUGCGAAAGCGUGGGGAGCGAACGG